This 495-nucleotide ribosomal RNA is filed under the name uncultured bacterium. RNAcentral describes it as "bacterial SSU rRNA". It matches the Rfam family "Bacterial small subunit ribosomal RNA", at positions 791 to 1296 of the family's 1533-position model. The record is from RNAcentral.
UAGUCCACGCCGUAAACGAUGGACACUAGUUGUUGGAAUUAUUCAGUGACUAAGCGAAAGUGAUAAGUGUCCCACCUGGGGAGUACGAUCGCAAGAUUGAAACUCAAAGGAAUUGACGGGGGCCCGCACAAGCGGUGGAGCAUGUGGUUUAAUUCGAUGAUACGCGAGGAACCUUACCAGGGCUUAAAUGUAGUCUGACAGCUUUAGAGAUAGAGUUUUCUUCGGACAGAUUACAAGGUGCUGCAUGGUUGUCGUCAGCUCGUGCCGUGAGGUGUCAGGUUAAGUCCUAUAACGAGCGCAACCCUUGUCGUUAGUUGCCAGCAUGUAAAGAUGGGGACUCUAGCGAGACUGCCGGUGCAAACCGAGAGGAAGGUGGGGAUGACGUCAAAUCAUCACGGCCCUUACGUCCUGGGCCACACACGUGCUACAAUGGUAUGGACAAUGAGCAGCCACCCCGCGAGGGGAUGCGAAUCUUCAAAGCCUGUCUCAGUUCGG